GACGAACGCUGGCGGCGUGCUUAACACAUGCAAGUCGAACGGAAAGGCCCUGCUUUUGUGGGGUGCUCGAGUGGCGAACGGGUGAGUAACACGUGAGUAACCUGCCCUUGACUUUGGGAUAACUUCAGGAAACUGGGGCUAAUACCGGAUAGGAGCUCCUGCUGCAUGGUGGGGGUUGGAAAGUUUCGGCGGUUGGGGAUGGACUCGCGGCUUAUCAGCUUGUUGGUGGGGUAGUGGCUUACCAAGGCGUUGACGGGUAGCCGGCCUGAGAGGGUGACCGGCCACAUUGGGACUGGGAUACGGCCCAGACUCCUACGGGAGGCAGCAGUGGGGAAUAUUGCACAAUGGGCGGAAGCCUGAUGCAGCAACGCCGCGUGCGGGAUGACGGCCUUCGGGUUGUAAACCGCUUUCGCCUGUGACGAAGCGUGAGUGACGGUAAUGGGUAAAGAAGCACCGGCUAACUACGUG
This 468-nucleotide ribosomal RNA is filed under the name uncultured bacterium. Its description in RNAcentral is "partial 16S ribosomal RNA". It matches the Rfam family "Bacterial small subunit ribosomal RNA", at positions 28 to 507 of the family's 1533-position model. The record is from RNAcentral.